RNAcentral lists this ribosomal RNA (252 nucleotides) under uncultured bacterium. RNAcentral describes it as "partial 16S ribosomal RNA". It matches the Rfam family "Bacterial small subunit ribosomal RNA", at positions 524 to 776 of the family's 1533-position model. The record is from RNAcentral.
UACGUAGGUCCCGAGCGUUGUCCGGAUUUAUUGGGCGUAAAGCGAGCGCAGGUGGUUUAUUAAGUCUGGUGUAAAAGGCAGUGGCUCAACCAUUGUAUGCAUUGGAAGCUGGUAGACUUGAGUGCAGGAGAGGAGAGUGGAAUUCCAUGUGUAGCGGUGAAAUGCGUAGAUAUAUGGAGGAACACCGGUGGCGAAAGCGGCUCUCUGGCCUGUAACUGACACUGAGGCUCGAAAGCGUGGGAAGCAAACAGG